GCCCGGCUGGCGCAAUUGGCUAGCGCACAAGACUUCUAAUCCUUCUUUGUAGAAGUGCAUCUUGAGGCUGUGGGUUCGAGUCCCACGUCGGGUG
This is a non-coding RNA of Dichotomopilus funicola, 94 nucleotides long. The record is from the annotation of a RefSeq genome assembly. Lineage: Eukaryota; Fungi; Ascomycota; Sordariomycetes; Sordariales; Chaetomiaceae.